This 66-nucleotide transfer RNA is filed under the name Abyssogena kaikoi. RNAcentral's name for it is "tRNA-Ile". Lineage: Eukaryota; Metazoa; Mollusca; Bivalvia; Venerida; Vesicomyidae. The record is from RNAcentral. RNAcentral also lists the same sequence under 2 other names.
GAUGCUAUGCCAGAAAAAUUGGGUUAUCUUGAUGGGGUAAAAUAUGAGAUUAUAUCUUUAGCAUUU